AGUUUGAUGCAGGUAAUUGGAGUAACCCCGUCACUGAAUUCACUACUGACCUUCUGCCGGUCAAGAGAGGAGAUCCAGGACGCCCCGUCAUCCCGAUCUCCAUCGGCAUGGUAGAGGUUCCAGAAGCACUCUGCAACUUUGGCUCUAGCGUCAACAUUAUACCCAGGGUACUCUAUGAAAAAUUCUUUACAUAUCCUUUAUUAGAAACAACCAUGUGUUUGCAGUUUGCAGAUCAGACGAUAACUUUUCCAAAAGGAAUAUUGAAGAACCUUUGUGUCCGAGUUGGUACCUUAUAUGCUCUAGCAGACUUCGUAGUAGUAGAGACCGGAAAUGAUGAGAGGGCACCUAUCAUCCUUGGGAGGCCAUUCUUGAACACCACAGGAGCUAUCAUCUACGCUAGUGCUGCCAAGAUCAGUUACUACAUCAAAGGGAGGAAGGAAACAUUUUUCUUUAGGAACAAGACUACACAAAUCCCAAAUCAAUCCAGACGUGAAUCAAGGAAGAGGACCAACAGGAGGAGCAGGAACAAGCAAGUGUGGACCGAGUCAGCUAAGAUGGUCACUGCAAUUUAUGGAGGCCAAGAUCAUCAACUUAAGUCACCGUUUUUUACCAAGAAGGAUGACCCAGGAAUGCCAAGCAUCUACUGCUCCAUAAAUGGAUACAACUUCUACAAGGCAACUUGUGACACCGGAUCGGGCGUCAACAUAAUGGCCGCAGUCACCUAUCAGCUCUUGUUUGGGACCAUGCCCCUAAGACCAACAUACAUUCAGCUCCAGAUGGCAGAUCAGACAUUUCGAGAAGUUAAAAGAAUAGUAACUGAUGUCCCAGUCAAAAUAGACAAUCAUUUUGUCUACACAGACUUUCAAGUUAUUGACAUGGGAGAAGACGAAUACGAUCCACCCGUCAUCCUUGGAAGACCGUUCCUCAGCACCGUUAAAGCAAUUAUCUACAUUGGAACCGGAGAAGUCCAUAUGCACUUCGCCUCAGAGAAGGUACGCCGUUAUUUUACUGACCCUAACUAUGUCGUUGAAGAAUCUAAGCAGGUAAGAAAACAACGCAACCGCAACCAGAGGAGGCAGAUCAUCAAGGAUGGAUGGGCAGACUACGAAGGAGAAGUGAUAAGAUCAGAAGACGUAGAGUUUAAAUAGAAUUAUCCAGAGGAGACCGUAGCACCGAGUCAGGUAUGGAAAGAGAAGAUAACUAUACAUGAAGAGGAGGCGCUGCCGGAAGUACCGACUACGCCACCCAACGAAUCCCAGGACAAUUGAGAAAACAGAGAGUCCCGUUCGGAGGACUUAAAAACACCGAACGCCUUGCCAAGAGGUAAACUUGGUAGUUAUCCUUUCCCUUUCAAUUAUUACAACUAGUUUACUUAGUUAAUCAUGUUCGUGCUAUCCUAAAAAGAAAAUAAAAAUGUGAAAAACAGUAAGCCCCAUGUGAGUAGACGAGUGGCAUAAAACCCAUAAGUACAUUCACUGUGGUGGCAUAAAAAUAAAAUAAAUAUUUCUUUCUGCUCUAUAAAAAUGAAAAUAUAAAAACAGGGAGUAAUAAUUAUUAAGGAGUCUCAACAUGAUAAAGGCUAGAUAUUUAUGCUAACACUUAAUCAAGUUCCACAAGCAUUGUUGUCUAUUUGAGCUCCACAGAAUUUAAGAAUCAAGAAGACUAGCAGACGGAGGACAUUCUAAUCGCUGUCAGAAUGCUGCUGACUUUCAAAUACACCUCUGCCGCCUACUAGCUGCAUCAAGAGAAAUUACGUCAAAAUUCAGCUUGGGGGAGAGCACCCCCAUUUAUCCCGAUAAGUAUUUCUAUCUAUCUUUAUACUUAUAUUAUAUUAGAAUAUUAAAAUACAUAACUAUGGAAAACCAAAUAAAGAUUUUAUGCUUAUAUAUAUAUAUAUAUAUAUAUAUAUAUAUAUAUAUAUAUAUAUAUAUAUAUAUAUAUAUAUAUAUAUAUAUAUAUCUUUUGCUUAGUGUGUUUAAUAAAUAAAUAAAGUGGCUAUGCUAAUCUGUAUCUAAAUAAAACUCAAGCAUGGAUAUGAUGAAUAGUUGCUCUGCCUAAUUUGCACAUUUUUCUCUCUCAAGUUUAGACAUAACUGUUAUAAUUUAAGGCUUGCUCUAGAUCUAAACUUGUGGGAUGAAAACUUGAUCUGAAGUCUAAGUUGUUAACGGAUAUGAUAUAGGAAGGUUGAGCUGCUGUUUAUCUGUUCCUAGAGAUGCUAGAAUUCUGGAGAAUUUUAUCUUUGAAAAUCUUUAAAAUGUUGCAUGAUGAGUUCCUGUAUGAUGAGAGUUUAAAUUCCUACCACAGCCAGAUAUACAUGCUUGCUAGACUUUGAGCCACACAUUUACUAUUUACUGCUUAUGAGCAUUGAGUGUGGUCAAGCUGUGUAGAUCCUUAGGAGCUUGUCACGUGCUUAAAUCAAGAUUUCACUUGCACGUUCACUCAUAUAUGCUACUUCUACUCCGGAAGUACCAUCCACAUAUAUCCACUCAUUUCCAUCUCCAGAACCACCCAAAAAUAUUCUACUCCUAAUCCUGGAGAGAAUAGCCAAAAAUAUUUUUGUUUUUCCUUGUGAAAUAAAUGCUCAAGUUAUCUUGUUACUACCACUUGCUAUAUUAUUUCAAGAGAUGAGUGCUCUGAAAAAACGAGGAAAUAAAAAGGAGCAAGUGCUCGGAACCUCGAAAGAAAAGAAAAAAGUGAGACGAGAGAUAAAAAUGGACAAGUGUCCGACAGUAGAAUUAGGGGUACAAGAUACCCACCUGAGAGAAAAAAAAGAAAGAAGAGCAUCUCAUUCUCCUCAUAAAGUUUCAAAAAGCAAGAAAGGUAUGUAUCCCCUCAAAGAGCAAAAGUAGAAUUAGACUUUCACCAUUGUUAUCACCAUCAUCACCAUACGCCAUUCAUUCGCCACACAUGCACAUCUUGAUUUGGCUUAUUGAUUUGUUUCUUUGGAUCCAUGGUUUGACUAUACAAUAAAUGUCUUGUAAGUAUGUAUACUUUAUCUCCCACCUAUGAGCUCUAGAUAUAAAAGCCUUAUUAGAGUAGGGUGAGAGAUAAGAUAAUGUUACUAUGCCUUAUACCACAAAUACUACAUAUCUUGAGAGAAGGCAUAUACCAUCACUGCCUUGGUAAGGAUCCAGAAAUACCACAAAAGAGAGAUCUGAGAGAAUCAUACAAGGAAUCUCUGAGUUUUAUUUAAAAAUCUGCAAAAGCACCAGAGCUAUAGCUCAUCAAGAAUAAGAGACAUGGCACUUGACUAGACUGUUCUAUCUUUUAACUACUCAAGAAAGAAGUGACGGUUACAAGUCCCAUGAAGGUAAACUAAGUAAGUUUUAAGUCUUGACAGUUUACUCUAACUCAGAGAUGAGAUCUUAUUUAAAAAGCAUGAGUACCGUCAAUUUUUAAAGAUUUUGCAACAACUUAUGAUCCAUAGCUGAGUCUACCUUUGCUCAGGGACGAGCAAGAGGUAAGCUUGGGGGAGUUUGUUGACAGUCCUUAAGUAUCAAAUUUAAUUAUCAAAUAAACAAAGAAAAGGAUCCAAAUGAAAUCAACAUCUAGACUGAGGGUUUUAUCUGACAGAAUUCCACGAGUUUUGGUGUUUGUCUAUUUCUACAGGGGGUUAUCAGGAAAUACGGAAGAAAGGCCCACACAUCGGGAUUACAUAGAGAUAUUAACGUGCCGCGCAAUUAUCUUACAUCUAGAAGACUCCAGAAGCCACGAGACCGAAGCGGAGGCGAAACGGGGCCAGAGGCAGGGCGCCCGCCCUGUUCCCCUGGGCGCCCGCCCCCUCCCUGAGUCCAAUCAGGACUCUGCUUCGUGGGAGAUCUCCCCCGACCUAAAGGAUGAAUCUAAACCAUACAAUCUAUGUCGGUUUGAUCCAACGGCCCAAAUUCACUUGAAGGGACUAUAAAACCAGACCCCCUGGCCCCUGGAGGAGGGAGCCUCUCAACCCUAAUUCAUUGUUCUUCAAGGGAGAAGAAGCCUCUGAUCAAGAUUAGAGCCACCACAUCAAUUAGAUAUCUAGAUUAGCAUAGCUACGUAGGAUUAGAACUAGAAGGAGUCAAUCUUCGAUUGGUUUCCGGAUCUGUCAAGAGGAUUCUUGGUAAUUCUCUAAUUGUGCUUCUAAUUACUUUCUAAUUAACUUUGUUCUUCAAUAUUAUGAAUAUGACUUUGUUCUACUUCAAUAUAUUGCUUAUGACUUAGCUCUACUUGCUUAUAUUCAAGAUUAUAUUGUUCUUAGUUUAUCAUAGUUACGUACUUGGCUUAGUUAGAUUGGAUUUAUAUACAUGCUUAGGAUCGUAUAGCGUUUAUCCAUCGGAUCCAUGGGUAAAUGAUAGAUAUUGUGUAGGCGUGGUGCUUAUACCGUAUUUAUCUGCGAUUGUACCCAAUAUGCCAGAUCGUGGGGUGGUUCGUCAUAGUGACAGCUUCAUUGAUUCUUAUAUAGUCCCCCUCUCGUGUAUUGGGCUGGCAGAGCAACAUUAUUACAGGGGAGUGAUUGCUAUGUUUCUCAUAUUCCUUGCUAAUAUCACUAUGCAUGGGCGUAGUCUUGUCUCACAAUGAUUGCUAAGUAUGCUUGCACUAACUAUGAUAAUGCUAGACUAUAUAGUUGAGAAUAACUUAGGGAAUAUUCUUGUAGUUCGUUCUAAUUCCAUGCUAAUGACUUUCUAGAGUAUCUAAUUGAGGUGCUUAUCAUAUUUAUUAUGUGGCUAGAUCAGAUUAGUUAUCCUUGUCACUAUUCGUUAUUUCAUAUAUCUUUUAUGUGACACUUAUCCUUGUAUGAAGAGUUAGAUAAAUGUUCUCAAUUAUACAUGCAAUGAUAGAUGCUCAAUCUCAUAUUCUAUUCUGUAAUCACUAUUGAUGAUUGCUAAUCCCUUCCCAGUGGUAAAAAUAUAAAUAACGAUACCUGGAAUACUUCCCGGUUAAAAUGCUACAUCGGUAUUAAUCUGUGCGCUUGAAGAUCCCAUUCAUUAUUUAUUUAGAAGAGCAAUUGCUUAUUUCAAUACCGCGCCUCUCAUGUCAUGCUGGGGAUGACAACUUGGCUUAAGUGGUGUGAGGGAUAGGUUUGGCAUUUUUGGCACCGUUACUAGAUUUAGAGAACUUAGUCUACUUUUGGUAAUGAUGUUAAGAAUACCCAACAUAGAGCUGGAGAUAAGAAGGAAGUUUUGCACAUCUACGACUCUCACAUGACUUGUGAGGAGUGUGGAGAUACUGGACACUCAGGCAAUCACUGCCCUGAGAUACUUGAGGAUGUAAACUACAUCAGCAAUAACAAUAACAACUACUACAACCGUCCUCAACAAAAUCAAGGUUGGAAUCAACAGAGGCCUAACUACUCAGGUAAUUAUCAAGGUAACAGUUCUUACAACAAUAAUAAUAAUUUUCCACCUCUGAGAGAGUUAGUGUCUAAUCAAGGAAAGCUAAUGGACAACCUAUCUAAGAAAUUGGCAUCAAAUGAUAAAAUGCUAGAAAAUAUAAAUAAUAGAAUGGAUAAUUUCUCUACUGCCAUCAAGAAUCAAAUUAGCUUUAAUAAAAUGAUUGAAUCUCAGUUAAAUCAAAUAGCUGCUGCUGUUCCUACUACUAACCCCGGUAUACCAUCACAACCGGAAGGAUUAGAAUCUGCAAAUCUUGUAGACAUGUUUGAUGCAGGUAAUAACUGGAGUAACCCCAUCACUGAAUUCACUACUGACCUUCUAUCGGUCAAGAGAGGCGAUCCACGACGCCCCGUCAUCCCGAUCUCCAUCGGCAUGGUGGACGUCCCAGAAGCACUCUGCGACUUUGGCUCCAGUGUCAACAUUAUACCCAGGGUACUCUAUGAGAAAUUCUUUACAUAUCCUUUAUUAGAAACAACCAUGUGUUUGCAGUUUGCAGAUCAGACGAUAACUUUUCCAAAAGGAAUAUUGAAGAACCUUUGUGUCCGAGUUGGUACCUUGUAUGCACCAGCAGACUUCGUAGUAGUAGAGACCGGAAAUGAUGAGAGGGCACCUAUCAUCCUAGGGAGGCCAUUCUUGAACACCACGGGAGCUAUCAUCUACGCCAGAGCUGCCAAGAUCAGUUUCUACGUCAAAGGGAAGAAGGAGACGUUUUUCUUCAAGAACAAGACUACACAAAUUCCAGAUCAAUCCAGACGUGAAUCAAGGAAGAGGACCAACAGGAGGAACAGGAACAAGCAAGUGUGGACCCAGUCAGCUAAGAUGGUCACUGUAGUUCAUGGAGGUCAAGAUCAUCAACUUAAGUCACCAUUUUUGACCAAGAAGGACGACCCAGGAAUGCCAAGCAUCUACUGCUCCAUAAAUGGAUACAACUUCUACAAGACGUUUUGCGACACCGGAUCUGGCGUCAACAUAAUGGCCGCAGUCACCUAUCAGCUCUUGUUCGGAACCAUGCCACUAAGACCAAUAUACAUUCAGCUCCAGAUGGCAGAUCAGACAUUUCGAUAAGUUAAAGGAACAGUAACUGAUGUCCCAGUCAAAAUAGACGAUCAUUUUGUCUACACAAACUUUUAGGUUAUUGACAUGGGAGAAGAUGAAUACGAUCCACCCAUCAUCCUUGGAAGACCAUUCCUCAGCACCGUUAAAGCAAUCAUCUACAUUGGAACCGGAGAAGUCCAUAUGCACUUCCCCUUAGAGAAGGUACGCCGUUAUUUUACUGACCCUAACUACAUCGUUGAAGAAUCUAAGCAGGUAAGAAAACGAUGCAACCGCAACCAGAGGAGGCAAAUCAUCAAGGACGGAUGGGCAGACUAUGAAGGAGAAGUUGUAAGGUCAGAAGACGUAGAGUUUAAAUAGAAUUAUCCAGAGGAGACCGAAGCACCGAUUCUGGUAUGGAAAGAGAAGAUAACUAUACAUGAAGAAGAGGUGCUGCCGGAAGUACCGACUCCGCCACCCAACGAAUCCCAGGACAAUUGAGAAAAUGGAGAGUCCCGUUUGGAGGACUUAAAAACACCGAACGUCUUGCCAAGAGGUAAACUUGGUAGUUGUCCUUUCCCUUUCAAUUAUAUUACAUAGUUAAUCAUAUUCAUACUAUCUUAAAAAUAAAAUAAAAAUGUGAAAAACAGUAAGCCCCAUGUGAGUAUACGAGUGGCAUGAAAUCCAUAAGUACAUUCACUGUGGUGGCAUAAAAAUAAAAUAAAUAUUUCUUUUCUGCUUUAUAAAAUAACAAUAUAAAAACAGGGAGUAACAAUUAUUAAGGAGUCUCAACAUGAUAAAGGCUAGAUAUUUAUGCUAACACUUAAUCAGUUCCACAAGCUUUGUUGUCUAUUUGAGCUCCACAAAAUUUAAGAAUCAAGAAGACUAGCAGACGGAGGACAUUCUAAUCGCUGUCAGAAUGCUGCUGACUUUCAAAUAUACCUCUACCACCUGCUAGCUACAUCAAGAGAAAUUACGUCAAAAUUCAGCUUGGGGGAGAGCACCCCCAUUAAUCCCGAUAAGUAUUUCUAUCUAUCUAUCUUUAUACUUAUACUAUUUUAGAAUAUAAAUAUACAUAAACCAGGAAAAACCAAAUAAAGAUUUUAUGCUUAUAUCUUUUGCCUAGUGUGUUUAAUAAAUAAAUAAAGUGGCUAUGCUAAUCUGUAUCUUAAUAAUAAAACUCUAGCAUGGAUAUGAUGAAUAGUUGCUCUACCUAAUUUGCACAUUUUAAGUUCUCUCUCAAGUUUAGACAUAACUGUUAUAAUUUAAAGCUUGCUCUAGACCUAAACUUGUGGGAUGAAAACUUGAUCUAAAAUCUAAGUGGUUAACGGAUAUGAUUUGGGAAGGUUGAGCUGCUGUUUAUCUGUUCCUAGAGAUGGUAGAAUUCUGGAGAAUUUUAUCUUUGAAAAUCUUUAAAAUGUUGCAUGAUGAGUUCCUGCAUGAUGAGAGUUUAAAUUCCUACCACAGCCAUAUAUACAUGCUUGCUAGACUUUGAGCCACACAUUUACUAUUUACUGCUUAUGAGCAUUGAUUGUGGUCAAGCUGUGUAGACCCUUAGGAACUUGUCAUGUGGUUAAAUCAAGAUUUCACUUACACGUUCACUCAUAUAUGCUACUUCUACUCCGGAAGUACCAUCCACAUAUAUCCACCCAUUUUCAUCUCCAGAACCACCUAAAAAUAUUCUACUCCUAAUCCGGGAGAGAAUAGCCAAAAAUAUUUCUGUUUUUCCCUGUGAAAUAAAUGCUCAAGUUAUCUUGUUACUACCACUUGCUAUAUUAUCUCAAGAGAUGAGUGCUCUAAAAAAAAGAGAAAAAGAGAUACGAGGAAAUAAAAAGGGGCAAGUGCCCGGAACCUCGAAAGAAAAGGAAAAGUAAGACGAGAGGUAAAAAUGGACAAGUGUCCGACAGUAGAAUUAGGGGUACAAAAUACCCACCUGAGAUAAAAGAAAAAUAAGAGCAUCUCAUUCUCUUCAAAAGUUUCAGAAAGCAAGGAAGGUAUGUAUCCCCUCAAAAGAGCAAAAGUAGAAUUAGACUUUCACCAUUGUUAUCACCAUCAUCACCAUACACCAUU
This 8468-nucleotide long non-coding RNA is filed under the name Sorghum bicolor (sorghum). RNAcentral describes it as "long non-coding RNA (SBIC_LNC000700)". The record is from RNAcentral. Lineage: Eukaryota; Viridiplantae; Streptophyta; Magnoliopsida; Poales; Poaceae.